This 78-nucleotide ribosomal RNA is filed under the name Kiritimatiellia bacterium. RNAcentral describes it as "Kiritimatiellae bacterium (gut metagenome) partial 16S ribosomal RNA". It matches the Rfam family "Bacterial small subunit ribosomal RNA", at positions 1 to 78 of the family's 1533-position model. The record is from RNAcentral. Lineage: Bacteria; Pseudomonadati; Kiritimatiellota; Kiritimatiellia.
UUUUCUGAGAGUUUGAUUCUGGCUCAGAACGAACGCUGGUAGCGUGGAUUAGGCAUGCAAGUCGAACGGGAUCCGGGA